This 300-nucleotide ribosomal RNA is filed under the name uncultured bacterium. RNAcentral's name for it is "partial 16S ribosomal RNA". It matches the Rfam family "Bacterial small subunit ribosomal RNA", at positions 100 to 398 of the family's 1533-position model. The record is from RNAcentral.
AAAAAAAAAAAAGUGAGUAAACUGACCUUGACUUUGUGAUAACUUAAGGAAAAUGGGGCUAAUACCGGAUAGGAGCUCCUGCUGCAUGGUGGUGGUUGGAAAGUUUCGACGGAUGGGGAUGGACUCGCGGCUUAUGAGCUUGUUGGUGGGGUAGUGGCUGACCAAGGCUUUGACGAGUAGCCUGCCGGAGAGGGUGACCGGCCACAUUGGGACUGAGAUGAGUCUCAGCCUCCUAUGGGAGGCAGCAGUGGGGAAUAUUGCACAAUGGGCGUAACCCUGAUGAAUCAACGCCUUUUUUUU